This 446-nucleotide ribosomal RNA is filed under the name uncultured bacterium. Its description in RNAcentral is "bacterial SSU rRNA". It matches the Rfam family "Bacterial small subunit ribosomal RNA", at positions 28 to 482 of the family's 1533-position model. The record is from RNAcentral.
GAUGAACGCUGGCGGCGUGCUUAACACAUGCAAGUCGAACGGGAUCCCAGGAGCUUGCUCCUGGGUGAGAGUGGCGAACGGGUGAGUAAUGCGUGACCGACCUGCCCCAUACACCGGAAUAGCUCCUGGAAACGGGUGGUAAUGCCGGAUGCUCCAGUUGGAUGCAUGUCCUUCUGGGAAAGAUUCAUCGGUAUGGGAUGGGGUCGCGUCCUAUCAGCUUGAUGGCGGGGUAACGGCCCACCAUGGCUUCGACGGGUAGCCGGCCUGAGAGGGCGACCGGCCACAUUGGGACUGAGAUACGGCCCAGACUCCUACGGGAGGCAGCAGUGGGGAAUAUUGCACAAUGGGCGCAAGCCUGAUGCAGCGACGCCGCGUGCGGGAUGACGGCCUUCGGGUUGUAAACCGCUUUUGACUGGGAGCAAGCCCUUCGGGGUGAGUGUACCUUU